UACAGAGGUCCCAAGCGUUGUUCGGAUUCAUUGGGCGUAAAGGGUGCGUAGGCGGCGCGGUAAGUCGGGUGUGAAAUCUCGGAGCUUAACUCCGAAACUGCAUUCGAUACUGCCGUGCUUGAGGACUGGAGAGGAGACUGGAAUUUACGGUGUAGCGGUGAAAUGCGUAGAUAUCGUAAGGAAGACCAGUGGCGAAGGCGGGUCUCUGGACAGUUCCUGACGCUGAGGCACGAAGGUCAGGGGAGCAAAUAGG
Molecule: ribosomal RNA, 253 nt
Filed under: uncultured bacterium
Lineage: Bacteria
Description: partial 16S ribosomal RNA
Rfam family: Bacterial small subunit ribosomal RNA
Source: RNAcentral